This 460-nucleotide ribosomal RNA is filed under the name uncultured bacterium. Its description in RNAcentral is "partial 16S ribosomal RNA". It matches the Rfam family "Bacterial small subunit ribosomal RNA", at positions 338 to 795 of the family's 1533-position model. The record is from RNAcentral.
CCUACGGGAGGCUGCAGUGAGGAAUAUUGGUCAAUGGGCGCGAGCCUGAACCAGCCAAGUAGCGUGAAGGAUGACUGCCCUACGGGUUGUAAACUUCUUUUAUAAAGGAAUAAAGUGGUGCACGUGUGCCUUUUUGUAUGUACUUUAUGAAUAAGGAUCGGCUAACUCCGUGCCAGCAGCCGCGGUAAUACGGAGGGUCCGAGCGUUAUCCGGAUUUGUUGGGUUUAAAGGGAGCGUAGAUGGGAUGUUAAGUCAGGUGUGAAAGUUUGCGGCCCAACCGUAAAAGUGCAAUUGAUACUGGUAGCCUUGAGUACAGUUGAGGUAGGCGGAAUUCGUGGUGUAGCGGUGAAAUGCUUAGAGAUCACGAAGAACUCCGAUUGCGAAGGCAGCUUACUAACCUGCCACUGACAUUGAUGCUCGAAAGUGUGGGUAUCAAACAGGAUUAGAUACCCUGGUAGUC